Molecule: transfer RNA, 71 nt
Filed under: Ictidomys tridecemlineatus (thirteen-lined ground squirrel)
Lineage: Eukaryota; Metazoa; Chordata; Mammalia; Rodentia; Sciuridae
Description: Spermophilus tridecemlineatus (thirteen-lined ground squirrel) tRNA
Rfam family: tRNA
About the family: Transfer RNA (tRNA) molecules are approximately 80 nucleotides in length. Their secondary structure includes four short double-helical elements and three loops (D, anti-codon, and T loops). Further hydrogen bonds mediate the characteristic L-shaped molecular structure. tRNAs have two regions of fundamental functional importance: the anti-codon, which is responsible for specific mRNA codon recognition, and the 3' end, to which the tRNAs corresponding amino acid is attached (by aminoacyl-tRNA synthetases). tRNAs cope with the degeneracy of the genetic code in two manners: having more than one tRNA (with a specific anti-codon) for a particular amino acid; and 'wobble' base-pairing, i.e. permitting non-standard base-pairing at the 3rd anti-codon position.
Source: Rfam by way of RNAcentral
UGGGGUGCAGCUCAGUGGUAGAGCACUUGCCUAGCAUGCUGAGGCACUGGGUUUGGUCCCCAGCACCACAU